This 1093-nucleotide ribosomal RNA is filed under the name Pelthydrus sp. SLE0946. RNAcentral's name for it is "SSU rRNA". It matches the Rfam family "Eukaryotic small subunit ribosomal RNA", at positions 63 to 1091 of the family's 1831-position model. The record is from RNAcentral. Lineage: Eukaryota; Metazoa; Arthropoda; Insecta; Coleoptera; Hydrophilidae.
GUACAAGCCAAAUUAAGGUGAAACCGCGAAAGGCUCAUUAAAUCAGUUAUGGUUCCUUAGAUCGUACCCACAUUUACUUGGAUAACUGUGGUAAUUCUAGAGCUAAUACAUGCAAACAGAGCUCCGACCGGAGACGGAAGGAGCGCUUUUAUUAGAUCAAAACCAAUCGGUGGCGGGCUUGCUCGUCAUCGUACAUUUUGGUGACUCUGAAUAACUUUUUGCUGAUCGCACGGUCUAGCACCGGCGACGCAUCUUUCAAAUGUCUGCCUUAUCAACUGUCGAUGGUAGGUUCUGCGCCUACCAUGGUUGUAACGGGUAACGGGGAAUCAGGGUUCGAUUCCGGAGAGGGAGCCUGAGAAACGGCUACCACAUCCAAGGAAGGCAGCAGGCGCGCAAAUUACCCACUCCCGGCACGGGGAGGUAGUGACGAAAAAUAACGAUACGGGACUCAUCCGAGGCCCCGUAAUCGGAAUGAGUACACUCUAAACCCUUUAACGAGGAUCAAUUGGAGGGCAAGUCUGGUGCCAGCAGCCGCGGUAAUUCCAGCUCCAAUAGCGUAUAUUAAAGUUGUUGCGGUUAAAAAGCUCGUAGUCGAAUCUGUGUCCCGCGUCGCCGGUUCAUCGCUCGCGGUGUUCAACUGGCGUGUCGCGGGACGUCCUGCCGGUGGGCUAAGCUCGUUCGCGGGCGGCGCCCAACUUGAAAUCCCACCGCGGUGCUCUUGACUGAGUGUCGAGGUGGGCCGGCACGUUUACUUUGAACAAAUUAGAGUGCUUAAAGCAGGCUAAAAUUUCGCCUGAAUACUGUGUGCAUGGAAUAAUGGAAUAGGACCUCGGUUCUAUUUUGUUGGUUUUCGGAACCCCGAGGUAAUGAUUAAUAGGAACGGAUGGGGGCAUUCGUAUUGCGACGUUAGAGGUGAAAUUCUUGGAUCGUCGCAAGACGGACAGAAGCGAAAGCAUUUGCCAAAAACGCUUUCAUUGAUCAAGAACGAAAGUUAGAGGUUCGAAGGCGAUCAGAUACCGCCCUAGUUCUAACCAUAAACGAUGCCAGCUAGCGAUCCGCCGACGUUCCUCCGAUGACUCGGCGGGCAGCUUCC